This 960-nucleotide ribosomal RNA is filed under the name uncultured Fusobacterium sp. Its description in RNAcentral is "bacterial SSU rRNA". The stretch from base 1 to 811 matches the Rfam family "Bacterial small subunit ribosomal RNA". Lineage: Bacteria; Fusobacteriati; Fusobacteriota; Fusobacteriia; Fusobacteriales; Fusobacteriaceae. The record is from RNAcentral.
GAUGAACGCUAGCUACAGGCUUAACACAUGCAAGUCGAGGGGAAACGACUUGAAGCUUGCUUCGAUGGGCGUCGACCGGCGCACGGGUGAGUAACGCGUAUCCAACCUGCCUCUGACUAAGGGAUAACCCGGCGAAAGUCGGACUAAUACCUUAUGAGGUUUUCUGCAGACAUCUAAUGAAAACGAAAGAUUUAUCGGUCAGCGAUGGGGAUGCGUCUGAUUAGCUUGUUGGCGGGGUAACGGCCCACCAAGGCAACGAUCAGUAGGGGUUCUGAGAGGAAGGUCCCCCACAUUGGAACUGAGACACGGUCCAAACUCCUACGGGAGGCAGCAGUGAGGAAUAUUGGUCAAUGGGCGAGAGCCUGAACCAGCCAAGUAGCGUGCAGGAUGACGGCCCUAUGGGUUGUAAACUGCUUUUAUGUGGGGAUAAAGUGAGCUACGUGUAGUUUAUUGCAGGUACCACAUGAAUAAGGACCGGCUAAUUCCGUGCCAGCAGCCGCGGUAAUACGGAAGGUCCAGGCGUUAUCCGGAUUUAUUGGGUUUAAAGGGAGCGUAGGCCGUGGAUUAAGCGUGUUGUGAAAUGUAGACGCUCAACGUCUGAAUUGCAGCGCGAACUGGUUCACUUGAGUAUGCACAACGUAGGCGGAAUUCGUCGUGUAGCGGUGAAAUGCUUAGAUAUGACGAAAGAACUCCGAUUGCGAAGGCAGCUUACGGGAGCACAACUGACGCUGAAGCUCGAAGGUGCGGGUAUCAAACAGGUUAGAUACCCUAGUAGUCCAAGGGCGAAUUCCACAGUGGGAUAUCAUGCUUAUCAACCUCCGACCUCCGAGGGGGUGACCCUGUACCCAGCUUUUGUUCCCUUUAGUGAGGGGUUAAUUACUGCUGUGUGGAUCAUUGCUUGCUGUGUGUCUGUUUGUGUGUGUGUGUUUAUAUUUGUGUUGCUCUACGUACUUUGUAUUU